This 413-nucleotide RNase P RNA is filed under the name Oceanicoccus sagamiensis. Its description in RNAcentral is "Bacterial RNase P class A". It matches the Rfam family "Bacterial RNase P class A". Rfam says of the family: Ribonuclease P (RNase P) is a ubiquitous endoribonuclease, found in archaea, bacteria and eukarya as well as chloroplasts and mitochondria. The record is from Rfam by way of RNAcentral. Lineage: Bacteria; Pseudomonadati; Pseudomonadota; Gammaproteobacteria; Cellvibrionales; Spongiibacteraceae.
CGAGCCAGCCAGACAGUCGCUGGGCUCUUCUCUCUGUUUUUUCACUUAUGUACUUAUAGUGAUGAACAUGGGGGUAGGGCCGAGAGGAAAGUCCGGGCUCCAUAGGGUAGAACGCCAGGUAACGCCUGGGGGGCGCAAGCCUACGGAAAGUGCAGCAGAGAGUAGACCGCCGAUGGCUAGCAAUAGCACAGGUAAGGGUGAAAGGGUGCGGUAAGAGCGCACCGCGCGACUGGUAACAGCUCGUGGCAUGGUAAACCCCGUUCGGAGCAAGACCAAAUAGGCCCACUAUACCUUAGGGUAAUAGGCGUGUACCCGCGCUGUGGGCGGGUAGGUUGCUAAAGCAUUGUGGCGACAUAAUGCGUAGAUGAAUGACUGUCCAACGACAGAACCCGGCUUAUCGGCUGGCUCAAUCU